AAGACGGGACGAAUCCUUUCACCAAGGGCUUGACGGAGCACAGUCUCUGUCUGGACACAGACACCUUCCACACAAUCAACCACAACAAGCGCACCGUCAGUAAUACGAAGAGCAGCAGUCACUUCAGAUGAGAAGUCAACGUGCCCAGGUGAAUCGAUGAGGUUGAUGAGGUACUCGUUCCCAUUUCUCUCUCCCUUGAAGUUCCUCAAGGAGUCAUCAGUCAUCUCGUAGUAAAGUGAAAUACCAGUGGACUUGAUGGUGAUACCACGCUCAGCCUCAUCUGCACGUGUAUCUGUCAUUCUGACAUCACCUGCUACUUCCUGAGCAAUGAUACCAGCAGCCGCCACCAGAGAAUCAGUAAGGGUAGAUUUUCCUGUCAGGUUAAAUAUAUUGCAGGAUAAGAAACUCAAAAUCAUCUGAUAAGUUAAACCAUAGAUGGUAGGUACCCUAUUACCAACGAAUAGAAGAAAAACAAUAAAACAAUAUUAAGCAAACAGUAGCACCACAAAAAUAUAUAGGGUGAAUUCAGUGCCCAGAUAUAUUCCAGAUGAUCACUAGACACAAGGGAUCAUAAUUUAAAUUACCUUACCUUUACAACAAAGAAUUUAGACAACUAUUGUAAUAAUAUUUGUACAGUUGCUUACCAUGGUCCACAUGAGCAAUAACAGACAUAUUACGAAUGUUAUGCUUGAAGUCCAUAAUCCUUCGAAGCUCCUCAGCUGUGAACUUCACCAUCUUGAAUGUUUGUUGUAGCAACUAAGAAUUACUUUAUUUUCCUGCCAUUUGAAACCGCAACAAAUGUUAAACAUCAAUCAAAACACAGUUUAUUCUCCCAGAGUCAAAAUCCAUAUGACAAAGCCACCAACUAAAAAAAAGCUAAUUCAAGAGAUCCAUACAAAACACACCAUAUAACUCUGAAGCUAACAAAACAAUUCCUCCUACUUAAUUGAAUAUACGCACACCAUAAUUUCAAGUCAAGACUCACAAAUAAACACAAAAUCACUGAUCAAAAGAUUGUAAUUAAGCUUCUAGAACCGAACAGCAGAAACAGAAGGUUUGAUGUUUCAAAAUUGAGACAGAUUACAACCAGUAGUCUACCACUAUAGCGCACAUCUCUGUAUUAUGAACAUCUUAAUUUAAGACGGACAUAUACAGACACGGACACACACAUAUAUAAGCAGAUAUAUUGUUUCUACAAGGAUCAUCAGAAAUAAAACAGUCUAAACAGAUGAAUAGCAAGCAGCUUCCGGAAUAUUAACAUGAACUAAUAAAAGCCCUCUUAACAUUCUCAAACGCAACAUCAAAUAACAUAUAUCUAUUAAAAAAGAGCAGAUCUCAAAGGCAACAUCAAAUAACAUAUAUCUAUUAAAAAGAGCAGAUCUGGACUAGAUCUAGAUAAAGUUCCUUCACAUUUCAUAAAAAUAUUCAUUUCAAACGAAAUUUUACCCCGAAAAAAUCAAAUCACAGCAUAGAUCAAAUGGUAGAAACUGAGAAUCUAUGAGUGCAGCGAGACGAGAAAGAGGAAAUGGUCACUUACUGAGAGGUAGGCGGCGAGUAUUGUGAGACCUUACAAUUCUGCCGCUAUGAUAAGCUGAGGUUAAGCAUUGUGCGAAGGUAUAUACCUCUCUUCAUGGGCCGCAGCCAGCCUAAAAUGGGCCAUACUACUAUCUUAUCUACAAUGGGCCUUUAGUGGGUUCAUUCAUAUAAACAAAAGAGAAAAAAAUCAGAGGAGAUACGUCUUCUUAACACUUCAUUGUCAUCCUCCACUUACUUUUUCAUUAUAUGACUACAAUAUUAUGUAUUCUAUAUAUAUAUAAUUAUAAUUGUUUGAGUGGGUAGUAUAAUUAUUUCUCCACUUGCUUUUAUGCUAUCCCCCACUUAUUUGGGAAUAUUGAAUUGAGGGGAUGAAAAAAAUUUAAAAUAAAAUUGCAGUGAUUUAAGUUAUUUUUAGUUAAGUGUAGGUGAUAAUUAAGGUGUUUUAUACGUGUAGUAGUUGCUCUUAUGUUUGCAUUAGCUAAAAAAAAAUUGGAAAGAUAUAAAGACCAAAAGGAAAAGUGAGGAGACCGUAAUCUCCUUCCACCAUCACAUACAAACGUUGAUUGAGUCCAUCGGAGUGCUGGAUUCAAAGCAGUGGCAUCAACAAGGAAUUCAGGUAAUCUUUUUUUUAUGCUAAGUAGAUUUUGUAUUAUUAUUUCACCUAAGAAAAUUCUUGUUUUUGCUCAUUAUUGACGGAGAUCGAGAGGCUGAGAGAGAAAUCAAAAUUUGUGUUUACAGGAGCGAAAAAAUUGUGUUGGAUUGAGUUUUGGAUGACUUUCAUCAAGUCUCACAAACACUAUGAAAUUCAAUCAAAAGAAGACUUCUUCAACUCUAUUAUAUCAGACAUCUUCUUUAAGUACUCAUAAAAACAUAAUUUUCUUCUUCUUUUUAAAUAAUAAAUGGUGUAAAUUAAACUGUUUUUUGUGUAAUUUCUUUUUCGAACUGAUUGGGCUCACAGGUAGCUAAUACCACUACUAAAGAAAAGAAAAAAUAAUCAUAUCCAAAUUCAAUUUUAGUCAUCUGCUUCGAGCAAACUUCUUAAUUAUUGAACCUCUUUUAUAUAUAUACUUAUAAGAUAGUUUUUAUAGUGUACUAAGAAAAAAAAAUACAUUAUAAUGUUAUUGAAGCAUUCUGGAGUUCCUGUUUUUAAGAUUUUGUUAUCCAAAUAUUGAAAUUUGAUUCUAGUCCGUGAUUAUUAUAGUUUUUUCGUCAUUUGGGAUCUCUGGUAUAAAAUUAGUAUAUGUCAAACUUUGAGUAACUACAAAAUUGAAAAUUUGGUUAGAAAAAAGUCCGCUAAAAUGUGAUGAGUUGGUAAUUUAUCAAUAUCAUACUCUUAUUCGUCAAUUAGCAUUAUGUUUUAUAGGUAAUGAAGAAAAUUUUAGGUCAUUAUUCUCUCCUGGGCAAAAGUUUCUUGCAAAAUGAAGGAUGAAUGAUUUGGCGCAAAACAUUAUUAAAAUACAUUGGUGAGGAGUUAACGUCCAAAAAUUUGCAUAGGUGUUCCAAUGGCUCAAUAGACUAGAAGAUGAGAUGUUGUCUAGAAACAUCAGUAUCUUCGAUGAUCAAUCGAUACAAAUGCAGGCAUCAUUGGAAUAGAAAAAGAUUAAGCGGCAUAUCAAUUAGAACUGGAUGUUUCCGCAUCGAUGGAACACUGAUGCAAUGCAAGCGAAAUACGAAAGUUUAAGGGCAAAAAAAAAAGUCUUACUUUGGAAGGUUUUAAUCAAGAAAUUGAGAUUUGUAUAAUUGUGUAUUAUAAUUUCUACCCAAUUGUGUAUUAUUCAUUAUUGCAAAGUAUAAGUUGGGGUUGUUUCCAUUUCUCUCGACGGGGGAAGUCACUAUUAAUUGGGUUGAGGAAUUAUCCCAAAGAUCAAUCAGUUCACACAUUGAGCUUACAACUACUUUUCUUAAAUAAUUAUUCCACCUUACGCAUAUUGCACUUGAGGGAUGAGAUUAACAAUUUUCAUCAUCUAUCGACAGAAGCAAUUCAUAAAGUGUGGUUGAGAUUCAAGAAAAAGGUCUUGUUAAGUCUAAAUUAUGGGCUAUCAAAUAAAGUUUUAAUACAAAAUAUUUUGCCGUUCUUUGGAUGAGGUCAAACAACUUAGAUAUAGAUUUUAUAUGGACCUAACUUAUGCCUUAGUCACCGUCCUCAUUGGUCAAAUGAUCAAGAGAAAUAAGACAUGGAAUACUAGAGACACUGAACAACCUCUGGGUGUAGCUGCCAAGUACGACGAAUGAGAUGAGAAGAAAAGAGAAAGAAAGAGAAGAACAAAUGACAAAGUUGAUGACAAGUAGAGCUCUUGGACAAGCAUAUGUUGCGCACCGAAAUAAAGUGUUAAUGUCAUUGGGUUACACAUUGUUAUCUAAUGAAGAAGAUAUUAUUUAUGCUUCAUAUGAUGAAGAGGUAAGAUUGAUGUGUCGCAAAAUCUUGGCACAUUUGAUGCUUGAAAACUAUGAAUUAAUACUAUAAUUGAAUGUAUUUUUGUAUACUUUGAUGUGUUUGUUGAAUGUGUAGACAGAUUCUUGUUUGUGUAGAAAAAUGGAAAAAGAAGUAGAAAAUCAUAAGGAUCAAGUAAAGAUCAUGACUAUCCUCACGAACCGUGAUUCUCAUAAUAUUUUGUAGUUAUGCUUGUAAAGUUGAACCAGUGUUUGGGCCUUGGGAAGAUGGAGUGCAUGAGUAACUAAGUAAAAACCACAGAAGGCUCCACAGGGUCGUGGUCACUAUAAUGGCUCGUGGUGGUGAUCGUGAAGAUGAUCCAGUACUUAGACCUCGAGAAGCUUGAAUUGGAAGUGACCACGUGAAGAUCACAGGCACCUUUACGAACCGUGGUCAGUGCUUCGAUCUGUGAUGUUGUUUGUAGUACCCUUUCCAGUGUGAUGUCAAUGAAGACCCAACUUUGAAAAAUUCCAAAUAAAGACCACAGACACCUAGAUGCAUCGUGGUCAUGUUGUCUGUGAUGCAUGUUCCAGUGGCCAAGUAUUGAGGACCCAAUUCUGGGGAGUUCCAAGGGAAGACCAUAGAGGGCAUCACAGAUUGUGAAGCCCUUAACGGGUCGUAGAGUUGUCCGUGAAGCCCUUAACGGGUCGACAUGAGUCACCCAUGACACCUAUUUUGGAUGUGGAGUUGUUUGAUAUGUGGGGAUCGACUUCAUGGGACUAUUUGUAAGCUCCUACGGGCAAAAGUACAUAUUAGUUGUAGUGGACUAUGUGCCCAAAUGGGUUGGGUAGUUGUUUUGCCUGAGAAUGAUGGAAAGAGAUUUAUCGAUUUUCUUGAAGAAGAAUAUCUUCUCAAGGUUGUCAUACCCAGAGCUAUCAUCAGUGAUGGUGGUUCUCAUUUCUUCAAUAAGGUGUUCGGUUUUCUUCAAGCUACAUAUGGAGUUAAAUAGAAUAAGGUAGCAACAAUUUAUCACCCACAUACCAGUGGCCAAGUGGAGGUCUCCAACAGAGAAAUUAAAGUAAUUCUGGCUAAAACAAUGAAUGUCAAUAUGACAGAUUAGGCAUGGAAGUUAGAUGAUGCUCUAUGGGCAUAUCAUACAACUUUCAAGACGUCUAUUGGUAUGUCUCCAUAUCAAUUAGUGUUUGUAAAGAUAUAUCAUUUUCUGGUUGAGCUUGAUCAUAAAGCAUUAUGGGCUUUGAAGAUGUUGAACCGUAGUUGGAGUGAAAUCAUGAACCUGAGAUUAAAUCAGAUCAAUGAGAUAGAUGAGUUCUAUCUGAGAGUCUAUGAGAGGUUUGCACUGUAUAAGGAGAGGAUGAAGUUAUAUCAUGACAAACAUAUUGAGAAAAAAGAUUCAAUCCUAGUGAUUUGGUAAUUCUUUUUUAACUUCAAGCUUCAUCUGUUUUCGGGUAAAUUGAGAUCCAAAUAGUUGGACCUUUUAAAGCUACUCAAGUGUUUCAGAUGGGUGCUAUUAAUCUUGAAAAUGACAAGCGCGAGAAGUUCAGAGCCAAUGGUCAGUAAAUCAAGGCAUAUUUGGGUGUUCUAGAGGAUGUGAAAAUCGUGGAGGAAUGUAAACUUGAUGAAAUCUGAGUAAUCAAGUAACCCGCAUCACACUGCGACUUUAAAUUAUGCAACCCAAGAUGUAAUUGUAUUAGGUAUUUUCCUUUUUCCUUAUUUUUCUUUAGUUUUAUAGAGUCAUUAUGUGUUGAUGUGUGCUGGAGAGAAUGUCUUCAAAAUUGCAAGAAUAGGGUGUAAACUACUCUUCACAGGAAGCUUCAAAGACUAUGGUGCCCGUCACGGGCACUUUCACGUUCUUCCGUCAAUCUUAGCACCAACCUAAAGGAUCAACUAGAAUUUACAAGAAAAAGGUUGACGAAAAGGUUCACGGUCCGUCAUGAUUUGUAUGGCCUCUCGUGAACCACAUGUAAGUAUUUUGUCCCAAGUCAUGUUCACGAACCAUUUCACAGACCGUGAUGCUCUUCAUGGGAAGUUUCACAGUCCGUCAUCUGUUAUCCAGCAGCACCAGACCCAACCGGACCCACGAUGAACCUAAACUUACAGGAAACAUAUAUUAGAUUCCUAGGCGCCAAAUGUUGGCUUCUUACCCUUAUUUUCUCUUCAUUCUUUAUCUUAUAACAGUUACUAGGUAUAACCAUUUCCUAUCAUAAAAACAAUCUUAGUUCCUCAAAGAAUUCAAACCCUAAACUAAAGUUGGUCAAGAAUUUCAAGUCAGGUUCAUCUUUACCUUUUUGAGGGAAAUUUUCUUUUAAGUCCAAGUAAGUUUUUUCUACCUUGUUAUAAGUUUGAUCUUAUAUAAAAAAAACAGUUACAUUCACUUCGAUUUAGUCGAGUUUAUCAUGUGUAUAUGAUGAACUAUCUUGGUUGAUAUUGAAUUAUUGUGGGUUGCAAUAAAUUAAGUGUUCUUGUAUCUGGGUAUGAUUACAGUAGGUAGUAAUUGUGUGCUCACUGUUUUUGAUUAAAUUGGUUAUGAUUUUUUUUAGGAGGGUUAGUUGAAUUUCUGGAUAAAAGUGUUGAGUGGUGGAUAUGUGUUGAUUGUGAUCUUGUGGAAAAAUAAGGGUUUGACACUAUAAAUAUUUCUUAUAGACAAUGUGAGGAAGACGGUUACUAAAGAAAUGGGUAAAUGUAUGAUCACGAUAGGUUUAACGAACCAUGGAAGCUACCAUGAGUCGUGAAACCAAUCGUGGACGACACUUGAAUUCAUUCCACCUAUUAGAAAAGUUCAUAACCAGUAUCACAUAUUGUGGUUCACUCCAUGGGCUGUGUAAUCAUCCGUGAACAUUACUUAGUCAACCCUAUGUUUUAUUUUUUUUAUAUUCUUAUUUUGUUCAUCUUUUGAUUUCGUGGACCUUUCCAGUGAUAGAUUGGGUGACGACAUUCUUAAGGCAAGCCGUCACGAUGUAAUUACAUAGGGGAGAUCUGAGUAUUUGAUAUUAUGUCAUUUUAUUGACUUGCGUAACUAAUUAUUUUUGUAAUUCUCAGGUACUAUAGCUCCCCAAAGAAAGAACGCAGCCAAACCUACCCCCUCCUCUCAAUGCUUCUCAAUCAUAGGAUCGUGAUAACUCCAAUUCUAGUAGUUUUGAGGUGCAAAUAAAUACCACCAUUGAUGAUCACUCACCUUGGUCUACUAGAGCACAGACAAAGAGGAAAAUUCUCCAGGACACUCUUCCCUAGUCUGAAGAGGGUAGUAGUCAUUUUGUUAGCAGUGAAGAAUCAGGUAGUGAAUAUAAUGUGGGCUCAGGUAGACAGUCCACUAAUAAUUUUUGGGGCAAUGCUAAGUCUGAAAGUGGCUCUCAGGAAGAUCCAAACACCUCUCCACCUGCGGUAAAUACAAAAGCUGAAAUUAGAGUAUAAGAUGAGACAGAUGAUAUACAUGAGGACAUAGAGAUCACCAUUGAUGAUAUCAUGGUAAUAUAUGUGAACAUUCACGAACCUGAUCCCGCAGCAAGACAAUAGUUGAUUGAUUGUUACCGUUCCAUGUGGAAUGUGAAUCAGUCUAAAGAAUUUUCCAACAAUGCUAUCGUGGCCAAUAAUGGCAGCAAGAAAGCUGAUAUCAAGGCAUUCCCCGAGAUUUAUCGGACAUUAUAGUUCCAUCAGUUCGAUUGGAUGAACAAUGCAUCAAGAGGAUACUCUAACCACCUAGACAAAGAGCUUUAUUCAUCUUAUACAACUACACUAAUGAAGUUUGUUGCCAUUUUUUGAGGUCCACUCAACUCAAUUAUAGUUCGGGGAAAAUGGAUAGAUAUCUCUAAGGCUAGUAUUAACAGGAUGUUUCAUGUCCCGAAAUACUCUUUACUAGAUUCAGUUGGUAUUUUGAGGGAAAACAUAAUUACAAAAGAUUCACUAUAUUUUCCAACCAAGGUUUGGUGGAUUGUUAUCCAUGUGCAAUUGAGACCGACAACUAAUGAUAACACAUUGCCUCCUUCACUGACUUCUUUGGUAGCAUGCCUCAUGGAUGGUUACCCGGUAAAUGUGGGGCUCAUCAUAGCGUCCAAGUAGUGAGACAUGGCACUAAAUGAGAGGCUGAAUUUUCAUUUCCCAGUCUGAUAAGAAUAUUAUGUCGACAAGCAAACAUUCCCCCAAACAAGAUGGUUGACAGAUGGGGUGAAGCAUUCAGACUAACCCAGGUUUCUAAAAUCAAGGAUUUCGCUAACCAUCUUUUUGGUGCAAGUCUGGAGAUGUGGGUAUUUUGGUCACCGUUCCUCUUGUCCCAAUUGAUAUUCCACAUGAAACAGAGGGCCAGAGUAGGGGGAGUCAUCCCAAACAUCUACAGAGGCACCACCACUAUCGACUUUCGCCUCAUAUGCUCCGGGUACCUAUGUCACUAUUCCCAUGAUUUUUCUUGAGAAAUUGGUCGUAGAUCAGCACCAAACUAGGACCUUGGUAGACCAGAUUGUGAAUUAGAUGGUUUGGAGAACUUUGUUCAAGAUCAUUUCCAGGCCACAGAUGCUAAAGAGUUCAAAGAACAAAUAGCCUAGAUGCGAACUCAGGUUUCUUAACUGGAUGAAAAUCCAGUACAUGUACCCACUCCGGUCAUGCUAGAUUCUUUGAUGAAAUUGCUAAAUUAGGCACCCUCCACUUAAUUAUUUGAUGAUUUAUGGGGUAACUUACCUAAGCGUGAGUCAGACAAGAAAGAAAAAACCUAGAGAAUAUGAUGAUGAGCUAUCAGCUGACAUGUCUAGAGAAGAAAGAAAGCAACACAAGAAAGCAUGCAGGGCAUCAAAGAAGGGAGCUCGUGAAAAAAGCACUUGAACAACAACAAAGAGAUGCAAUGUUAGUUGGGGAUUCUGGUAGCAGAGCACCUAUCUCGGUGAGCUGAAGCCAACCUGAUCAUGUGCCGAAUUCUGAGAGUGCACCCCUUGAUAUGGGUGUCAAUGCUGAUUUGAGACCGACGCCUAGAGCGUCGUAGGUAUGACUCCUCUUCAUAGCCUUAUUUUGUUUUGUUUUUCUUUAUUUGACUUUGAGGGCAAAGUCCUUUUUUGGGAGGGGUGAGUAACCUGCCAUUUUAAGGUGUUAGAAUGAAUGGAGGUUGACUCUCUGUUAAUUGUGAAAAAUAGUUUUGUGUUUGUGCUGGUGAGCUGAGGUAUGCAACAACUGGUUUCUGUGUAAUAUUUACCUUGAUCUGAGAUUUGAACGUUAGGAUCUUUAUUGACAUCUAGAUACUUACUUGUUGAACACUGCCAGUUUGAUAAAUAAAUAGGUGAACCAAGAAGCUGGAGAAUGUAAUCCUGUGUCAUGUGUGUUUGUGAAUGUUGUUUGAAGUCUAACACUAGGAGCAGAAACUAGAACUUGCCCGAAUUGUCUAGCUUAAAUCUGAGAAUAACCUGAUAAGAAAGGAUCAGUAGAUCAUUUUUGUUAAGCCAUUAAAAAUCCCAAAAAAAAUAAAAUAAAACAACCAAAUUAAAGCUUAUAACUUGAAACUGAUUUGAGACUAAAAGUGAGAUUUUGUUCUUACCCAAUAAAUAUCAUAUCCUUUGGUUUUCGAAGAUACGAUGUUACAACUCAGGUCAAAAUUCUAAGUUGAGGGUGAUUGCAAUCCGAGCAGAAAAAAGAAGUGAAAAAAAGGUUCAACCAUUGAGUUGAGUGCAUACAAAAAAAAGCCAUAUAUAUAAAAAAAUUUAAAUAAAAGAAAACAAGAAGAAAAAAAUAGUUGGUAGAUAUGCUCAAAUGAAGUAAAAGAGGGAAUUGCUCAGAAAGGAGUUGUGUGCAAAUGAAACUUUGAAGAACCAAAGAACCAGUCAAUCACAAAUCCAAAUAUCAUUACCUAGUCGGAGACUAUGUUACAAACCGAUAAAGUCCAACAAUGAUCCUAUUCCGCAUGAUUGAAAUAUAGAGUACAGAAAGCAAGUGCAACCCUAGGGUUGUUUGUUGUUAGUGUUAGAAUUUCUUCGAGAGUGUGAGCGUAGUACUUAGUCCCAAUUAUCAUGAGUGAAGGAUUUCUUUGGUGUGAGGACACAAUGAUUGCAUUCGAGAGUAGAUUGUGUUAGCUGAUAAUUCAGUCAUAAGCAUGAUUAACCGUAAGUAAUGAGAAAUCGUAGAUUGAUCCUUGCAUGUUAGAUUCAUGGUUUUGGAUACAAUUUGUGUUUGAGAUGGCUAUUGUGUAGUUUCAAAGUGUUUGAAUAAUUUGAGGAUUUGAAUGUGUUGUUAUCUUAUCAUUUGAGGACAAGUAAUGGUUUUAAGUUGAGGGUGUUGAUGUGCCGCGAAAUCUUGACACAUUUGAUGCUUGAAAACUAAUACUAGAAUUGAGUGUAUUUUUUUAUACUUUGAUGUGUUUGUUGAAUGUGUAGACAGAUUCUUACUUGUGUGAAAAAAUGAAAAAAGAAGCAAAAAAUGAUGGGAAUCAAGUAAAGAUCACGGCCAACCUCAGGAACUGUGAUUCUCAUAACGCUCUGUGGUUGUGCUCAUGAAGUUGAACCAAUAUUGGGCCUUGGGAAGAUGGAGUGCACGAGCAACUAAGUGAAAACCACAGAAGGCUCCACGGAUCGUGGUAAUUAUAACAGCCUGUGGUGGUGAUCAUGAAGAUGAUCCAGUACUUAAACCUUGAGAAACAUAAAUGGAAAGUUACCAAGUGAAGAUCUCGGGCACAUUUACGAACCGUGGUAAGUGCUAUGAUAUGUGGUGUUGUCUGUAGUACCCUUUCCAGUGUGAUGGCAUUGAAGACCCGACUUUGGAAAAUUCCAAGUAAAGAGCCCAGAUGGACCGUGGUCAUGUUGUCCGUGAUGCAUGUUCUAGUGAUCAAGUAUUGAAGACCCAAUUUUGGGGAGUUCCAAGGGAAGACCAUGGAGGGCUUCACAAAUCGUGAAGCCCUUGACGGGUCGUAGAGUUGUCCAUGUUGCCUGCAUUUCAUUCCUACUCUUUCUAAAAUACUUUAUUUGAAUUAAUUAGGUCAUUUUUAUUUUUUUGUCUCUUCUUACCAUGAACGAAAAAUACUUUAUUUGAAUUAAUUAGGUCAUUUUUAUUUUUUUGUCUCUUCUUACCUUGAACAAAAAAUACAUUUCCAGUAUUCGAAGUUUUGGAUUUUUGAUUUGAAUAUUGAAUUAAGUUUGAAGUUUGAUUUUCUAGCUCUUGAAUUAUCAAAGUGGUUGUUGAUUUGUUUUUUCUCGUAAGUACUUUCUAACAUGUUUUCAAUCUAUAUUUUUGAACAUUUACUUGAAAUAGUAAGUAGCUAAACACCAAAACUGGGGUUGUGGGAUCCAUGACGUAAUUCUAAUUAUGAUUUGGUAAAAUGAGUGAAAAGCAAUGUGUAAUUACAAACUAUAGUUUAGCUUUCGUUAUUUAUGUAUUUAGAUGAGUGCACGCAUUAGAGUGAGCCAGUAUCUAUCAUUUGUUCGAGAGAAAAAUGAUAGUUACCAAAAAAACUGAUUUAACCAAACAAAUUGGAGUUAAAGUUCGAGAAAAAAUGAAGAGAAUUUUAACACCAUUGUAAGCGAGGGUAAAAUUAGUAACAUUCCAGGGCCAAGAGGACUUGAGUAAGAAUUAUCUGAUUAGACAGAGAAGUGUCAGAUAAAGUUAACUCGUGUAGAUUUUGUAAAGAUGAAUUGCCUGAAACUCAAUUACGCAAGAACACUCUAGCAACGUUAUGGGGAACACAAUUCUAGUUUCUUUUAAUUAGUGAAUCAACUUUAUACCUUAAGACUCUAUUAACUGUUUAAUCUGUAUUUCUAAUGCAAAUCUUAAUUAUUAUAACAUUAAAACUAAAUCCAAGUUACUUUCCGUCAUUGUUUCUUAAGGAGAUAAUAACGACAUUCUAGUAAACACGACAAUGAAACCAUUUUUAUAAAGAAAUUCUCUGUGGGAUCGACCUCAACCCACGUUGAAUUUUGUAAAUUGACUUCGACUGUUUAUAUCUCUUAAUUGAGGUGUAAGUUUGGACGUAUCAAAGAUAUAUGACGAGUUAAUAAAUGUGUUCUCAAUCGAAGUACCAAGGCACUAAUCAAGGUCAUUGGCAUCCUUUGCAAAAGAAUCAAGAUUGGAGAGAUCAUGAUGGUCAAUGAAGAGAUCGAGAGUGACGUGAGAGGUAUCAUGCAAGAAUGAAGGAGAGGUACGAUCAUCAAAGCUCAAAUAUGUAAUUACCUUCACAUAACACUAAAGCCCCAGCUAGCCAAUCAAGUAUGAGUGAUCCGGCAUGCUCUGAGGGUUGAGGAUAUGCUAAAUUGUGUGCUAAAGUGGGCAGAGUCAAUGGAUAUGGGGUUAUGGAACUCAAAAACGAUGUCUUAAAUUUAAUCUUUCUCAGAUUUUUACUCUUUGAUUCAAUGAUUAAUAUGAUUUUAUUUUUUGUUGGUAGAAUUAAUUUUUUUUCACUAACUUUCUUGUAUAAUUUAUCAAAUAUGCCCAAAAAGAGGAAUUUUAAAAAAUAAUUACAUAUAGCCGAAAAAAUUAAUUUAAAUUUGUUCUCUUUUUCCAUUCACUUUUUAGUUAUUUCACACAUUUUUGCACUAAAAAUGAAAAGGAACAAAAAGGGAAGAGACUAAUAAUCAAAGAGGUCAAAAAUAAUCAUGUCUGAAAAAAUUAUAUAUACCCCUAUAUAAAAAAUAAAAAGAAAUCACUUUCAUUAGAUUAAAGGAGGAUGCGGGAUGGAAAAAUUAUAUGAAUUGAUACAUUUUUAUAAAUAAUUACUGAUUUAGGCGAUACUUUUUAUUUAUUAUCAUUUAUAGCAAUAUUAUGUUAAAUAUGUAAAUAUGUAUUAAAGUGAAUUAUGUAUACAAUACAUAUGAAUUACAAUUGCUUUUUGAAAUAUAUUAUGUUUGUUUGGUAAAAAUUUGACACAUUGUAUUAAAAUGUGUGAUGAAUGUAUUAUUAUCAUUAAAACUUGUAUUAUAUGUGAGUAAUAAAUUGUUCUUUGUAAUAUGUAUUAAACUUAUAUUAUAAAUGAAUAAAAGUGAUCAAGUGAGAAAAAAUAUUAUUACUAUACAUGUUAAAUAUUUUUUUAUUAUAGUAUAUUUAUUUAAGUUUCCUUUUAAAAAAUAUAUAUGAACCAUUUUUUAGUAGAUAUACGUGAGUUAUUUUUAUAACAGCAAGAUGUUCAUAUUUUUCAAUUAAAAAGAAAAAUCUAAUGAUUUCCAGAUAAAGACCGGAAAAUUUUACCAAAGGAAAAACAUCAAACAAACAACGCAAAAUAUAUACACUCAUUGUUGUGCAUCCUAGAAGGAAAAGAAUGGAAUGCUUGGUUUGGAAUCUGUAUUAGUAUAAGAUAAAUUACAUAAUUAAGCCAAAAUACUAGAUUUUAAAACUUAAAAAGGGAUGAGAAAGCUCAACGUAUAUCAUGAUUGAAAGAGCACACCGGAUUUAAUUUGCUGCAAUUACGAAAAUUAAACCGCAAAAAGAAUAAGUGACUGUCCUGAAACACUUGCAUAAUUAAUCUAAUUCAACAGAGAAAUUAUUUAAUUAUAUUUGAAAUUGCACUUUGUUUAGAAACUAACACAGCAAAAUUAUCUAAUGUUUGAAGUAAAAGGCAACUUCAAAUAAAAUACGACAGAAAUAGUUUUGUCCAUAGAAAAGAUAGAGGUAAUAAAUUCUGCAACAACAAACUUACGAGCUAGUAUCCUAAUCAACACAAGAUGAUCAAAGUAAUUAUCCAAACAGAUAGAUGAUAAAUGCAAAACAAAACUUUCGCGGAAUCAAUUGAGCAGGUUAAAUAUCAUCUGCUGCCAUCUCAAACAUAUGCCUUACAGCUUGUCCUCAAACUCGGAUAGAGGGGUCAUCUGAUCCUUCAAACCCUUCCUCUUGCGGAUAUCAAGGACGAGUUGAUGAGCUUGUGAGCCAGCUUCCAAUGGGUCAGAGGACAUCAUUUCCCAAUGAUCAAACACACACUGUGGGAAGGCUUGACCUGAAGUAGCAGCUCUCAAGGUACCUGAAAAUCCAAAAGACUCAACAACAGGAAGGUAAGCCUUGAUGUUGUAAAGAGGAGUUCCUGGCCUCUGCAUCUCCUCAAACACGUGUCCACGCUUCUGAUUCAGAACACUAUAGAUACCACCAAGGGCUUGCUCCGGAGCCUGAAUUUCCACAAGGUAAACGGGCUCCAACAGGCGGGGUUUAGCAGUAAGCUGAGAAGCAUAGAUAACCCUCCUAGCAGUGGGAAUAACUUGGCCACCACCCCUGUGAAUAGCAUCAGAAUGAAGAACAACAUCACAGACUUCAAAGCAAAUACCUCUCAUGUUCUCUUCAGCCAAUGCACCUUCCUUCGAAGCCCACUGGAAACCAGCAACAACAGAAUCCUUAAUUUCAUUCAGGUACUGAACUCCCUUACACAUAUCCACCACCAUGUUGGGACCAGUUGUCUCAGGACCAAAGCACCAAAUCUUCUUUGCAAGAUCUUUGUCCCAGCCAAACUCCUCAGCCAAGAUCUUGGAACGAACCUUAGGGUCAUCCCUAGGGCCAAUGCGUCCCUCGUCAAUAGCCUCAGCAAGCCCUUCCUCCAUUGGUCUAGCCUCCAUGUACAAACGGUUAUGCUUGUUAGGGGACUUGCUCAUCACAGUUCGAGUAGACUUCUCGAGGACCGUCUCACGGAAGGACACAACGGGAUCAGAUUUUAUAAUUUCAGCACCGCCCAUAAAGUCAUCCUGCAAAUCCUUCAGACAGAUCUCAAGGUGGAGUUCUCCAGCACCAGCAAUAAUAUGCUCUCCAGACUCUUCAAUAGAACAAACAACCAUAGGAUCAGACUUAGCCAGACGUUUCAACCCUUCAACAAGCUUGGGAAGGUCAGAUGCGACCUUGCACUGAACAGCUACACGCACAACUGGUGAGACAGAAAACUUCAUUGCUCUGAUAGGGUGAGCAUCGACUUCCUUUUCAUUGGUCAAUGUUGCAUUCUUGGUAAUAAACUGAUCCAAACCAACCAUGGCAACAGUGUUACCACAGGGAACAUCCUCAACAGUUUCUUGCCUCUUACCCAUCCAAAUAACAGUUCGCUGGAUAUUCUUGACAUAUAAAUCCUUCUUUUCACCAGGAACAUAGUUAGGACCCAUGAUUCUAACCUUCAUACCAGUAGAAACCUUCCCAGCAAAUACACGACCAAAAGCAAAGAAUCUACCCUUGUCAGAUGCUGGAAUCAUCUUUGAUACAUAAAGCAUAAGCGGCCCUUCUGGGUCACAGUUCCUGAUAGCAUUAGCAUAAGCAUCAUCAAGGGGUCCCUCAUACAAGUUCUCCACACGGUAUUUUUGAGCUGUGGACGGUGAUGGGAGAUGAUAUAUCAUCAUUUCAAGAAGAGCAGUACUUGCGGGAAGCCAGGUCUGCAUCACACGCUUCAUCAGUGCCUUGCCCAUCAAAUCUUUUUCAUCAGAUUUCAUGGUUACACCAAGCUUCUGCAACAUAGGCCAGAGCUUAUCUUUCUGAUCGUUCAUGCAAGUGUUGAUAAUCUGCUUAAUUGGCUCAUAGCAGAAUUGAACAAACCCACGCUUGCACGAAGCUGUCCCGGUGUUUUUUGUGGUCCACUUUUUGGUGGCAGGGUCAAAAAAGUUCUCACCCCACAGCCUCUCCAUCAUCUUAGACUCAUCAACACCAAAUUUGGAAGCAUACAUCUUGGCAAAAUUGGUGAGAGUGAAAGCCCACCCAUGCAACCCAGCUGAGAAAGCAACGGUACCUUUCUCAGGAUAAACCUGGACAUCACCAAGAAGGGGAUCCUCAUAUGUAGCCAUGAUAACAUUAGCAUUCUCAAUAACUCUUUGGAAUGUCUGAUAGGCCUCCUCUCCAUCAACCUGAAGCUCGAGGAAACACCUGUCCAUCUUGUUAACUGUCAAGACAGGACGAAUCCUUUCACCAAGGGCCUGACGGAGCACAGUCUCUGUCUGGACACAGACACCUUCCACACAAUCAACCACCACAAGUGCACCAUCAGUAAUACGAAGAGCAGCAGUCACUUCAGAUGAGAAGUCAACGUGCCCAGGUGAAUCGAUGAGGUUGAUGAGGUACUCGUUCCCAUUUCUCUCUCCCUUGAAGUUCCUCAAGGAGUCAUCAGUCAUCUCGUAGUAAAGUGAAAUACCAGUGGACUUGAUGGUGAUACCACGCUCAGCCUCAUCUGCACGUGUAUCUGUCAUUCUGACAUCACCUGCAACUUCCUGAGCAAUGAUACCAGCAGCCG
RNAcentral lists this long non-coding RNA (16058 nucleotides) under Solanum lycopersicum (tomato). RNAcentral describes it as "long non-coding RNA (SLYC_LNC000546)". Lineage: Eukaryota; Viridiplantae; Streptophyta; Magnoliopsida; Solanales; Solanaceae. The record is from RNAcentral.